GAUGAACGCUGGCGGCGUGCUUAACACAUGCAAGUCGAACGGGAAACCUUUUAUUGAAGCUUCGGCAGAUUUAGCUGGUUUCUAGUGGCGGACGGGUGAGUAACGCGUGGGUAACCUGCCCUAUACAGGGGGAUAACAACCAGAAAUGGUUGCUAAUACCGCAUAAGCGCACAGGGCCGCAUGGUCCGGUGUGAAAAACUGCGGUGGUAUAGUAUGGACCCGCGUUGGAUUAGCCAGCUGGCAGGGUAACGGCCUACCAAAGCGACGAUCCAUAGCCGGCAUGAGAGGGUGAAAGGCCACGUUGGGACUGAGACACGGCCCAGACUCCUACGGGAGGCAGCAGUGGGGAAUAUUGCACAAUGGGGGAAACCCUGAUGCAGCGACGCCGCGUGAAGGAAGAAGUAUCUCGGUAUGUAAACUUCUAUCAGCAGGGAAGAUAGUGACGGUACCUGACGAAGAAGCCCCGGCUAACUACGUG
RNAcentral lists this ribosomal RNA (478 nucleotides) under uncultured bacterium. Its description in RNAcentral is "partial 16S ribosomal RNA". It matches the Rfam family "Bacterial small subunit ribosomal RNA", at positions 28 to 507 of the family's 1533-position model. The record is from RNAcentral.